This 67-nucleotide transfer RNA is filed under the name Platevindex mortoni. Its description in RNAcentral is "tRNA-Asn". The record is from RNAcentral. Lineage: Eukaryota; Metazoa; Mollusca; Gastropoda; Systellommatophora; Onchidiidae.
ACUUAAAUAGAAGCUUUUAAUAGCACUUGACUGUUAAUCAAGAGAAGCCGUUUAGGCCGUUUAAGUU